This 1005-nucleotide ribosomal RNA is filed under the name Clostridioides difficile. Its description in RNAcentral is "partial 23S ribosomal RNA". It matches the Rfam family "Bacterial large subunit ribosomal RNA", at positions 1918 to 2925 of the family's 2925-position model. The record is from RNAcentral. Lineage: Bacteria; Bacillati; Bacillota; Clostridia; Peptostreptococcales; Peptostreptococcaceae.
CCCCAGUAAACGGCGGCCGUAACUAUAACGGUCCUAAGGUAGCGAAAUUCCUUGUCGGGUAAGUUCCGACCCGCACGAAAGGCGUAACGAUUUGGGCACUGUCUCAACAACAGACUCGGUGAAAUUGUAAUUCCGGUGAAGAUGCCGGAUACCUGCGACAGGACGGAAAGACCCCAUGGAGCUUUACUGUAGCUUGACAUUGGGUCUUGGUACUACAUGUACAGGAUAGGUGGGAGGCUUUGAAACCAGGACGCCAGUUUUGGCGGAGCCAUCCUUGGGAUACCACCCUUGUAGUACUGGGACUCUAACCAUAGGCCAUGAAUCUGGUCUUGGGACACUGUCAGGUGGGCAGUUUGACUGGGGCGGUCGCCUCCCAAAAGGUAACGGAGGCGCUCAAAGGUUCUCUCAGUACGGUCGGAAAUCGUACGUAGAGUGUAAAGGCAAAAGAGAGCUUGAUUGCAAGACAUACAGGUCGAGCAAGGAUGAAAAUCGGACUUAGUGAUCCGGUGGUUCUGCGUGGAAGGGCCAUCGCUCAACGGAUAAAAGCUACCCUGGGGAUAACAGGCUUAUCUCCCCCAAGAGUCCACAUCGACGGGGAUGUUUGGCACCUCGAUGUCGGCUCAUCACAUCCUGGGGCUGUAGUAGGUCCCAAGGGUUGGGCUGUUCGCCCAUUAAAGUGGUACGCGAGCUGGGUUCAGAACGUCGUGAGACAGUUCGGUCCCUAUCCGUCGCAGGCGUAGGAAAUUUGAGAAGACCUGUCCUUAGUACGAGAGGACCGGGAUGGACGUACCUCUGGUGUACCAGUUGUCCUGCCAAGGGCAUGGCUGGGUAGCUAUGUACGGAAUGGAUAAGCGCUGAAAGCAUCUAAGCGCGAAGCCAACUUCAAGAUAAGAUUUCCCACCGUAAGGGUAAGACCCCAGAAAGACUAUCUGGUUGAUAGGUCGAAGGUGUAAGUGCAGCAAUGUAUUUAGCUUAUCGAUACUAAUAGGUCGAGGACUUGACCAA